CCUUAACACAAGAGAAAAGUGGAACGGCUUACAAAUGCACAGCUUGCUCUAUUAAAAAGAAGGAAUUCAAGUUUGCAAUUGACAAGAGGUUUCUGAAGGAGCCACCAACAGAUUUAUUUAGUAAGCUCUCCCUUGCAUCUGAAGCCCAGAACAAUGCAAAACCUCAGUCCAAAAGUGCCUUUGCCUGCUAAGGUUUUAACCUCUUCGAAAUCUCCGUCUGUAAAACCAAAAAGAAAACAGACCAAGCUCCUUUCAUCGACAACUCUGAGGUACAACAUCAGCCUUUCACAAUGUUCCUAAUCGAGAAUAGUUUCUGGCUCAUUGAAUUUUCUGAAGAAGCAAAAGACUAGCCAAGUUUUAGAUAUAUCAAAAUCAUAUAUCUGACUUAAUUGAAUGCUUCUUUCUACACACCGCUCAUAGACCAUCAAAUUGUUGAUGAUGGCACAUGCGGUCAAAGAAGCAUCAUUUUGGCAUGAUUUGAGGUUGGGUAUUCUAUUUUCUGCUGUUAUGUUGUGAACGUUACGAGCAUGUACCUACAGGUUCACUUUGUUAAGAAAAUAUGAAAGAAAAAAGGGAAAAAUAGAAUUGAAUGUCUUAAAUUCCCAGUU
Non-coding RNA from Prunus avium (sweet cherry), 608 nucleotides. NCBI's taxonomy places the organism in Eukaryota, Viridiplantae, Streptophyta, Magnoliopsida, Rosales, Rosaceae. The record is from RefSeq and is a predicted model, not a curated record.